This 1507-nucleotide long non-coding RNA is filed under the name Mustela putorius furo (domestic ferret). RNAcentral's name for it is "lncRNA (ENSMPUG00000024820.1)". Lineage: Eukaryota; Metazoa; Chordata; Mammalia; Carnivora; Mustelidae. The record is from RNAcentral.
GAGAGUUUACAUAACUUGACCAAUGUCAUUAGGUUAUGCAGAGUCAGGGUGGCACGAGGGUAUGUCUGCUCCAAAUGCAUUCUCUUAAGGCUUCCUCAUAAUGUGCAUUCAUUCUCCAUCAUAUCAAAUUAUCAGUUAAAGAAUUGCUCACAGUGUUUAGAACACAAGGACACAUCUCAAGUGCUCCCCACUUGUUGCUAGGUAACGUCUGUUUGGCACAAUCUGGUGAACAUCAUCAUGGUUGUCUUGCCAGUAGGAACUGGUAAUCAGGAUGGCAGAGAGGCAGGCACUUGUUGUCAGAAGACUGGGCCUGGUUUUUAAAAGCCACAGAAGCAUCUUUAGAUGAUUAGAAUCCAAGGGUCCAACAGCUUUGCAAGAACACCAUAAAUAUUCUGUGCUGGAUGGACAGGCACCAAAUGGGGACAUUCCCUACUGUUGUGUGAUGAGAAAGCUGGCACUUCUGAGGACUUCCAAAACAAAUAAAUACUCGAUAUGCCAGAAGGAAAAGCAUGGGAAAGGCCUGUUCCAAUUGGAGAUGUGAAUGUCUUUCCAUGGGAAGCUGAGAUGCAACUGGUAGUCCUGGGAAUAUGGAAGGGAAUUCAACAAUACUGUACCUCUCAGGGAACUCAGAAAGGAAAUUGGAAAGGCAAGUUACAAACUGAAAGAAAAUAUUUAUAAAAAAAUCAUUUGAAAAAGAACUUGCAUCUGGAAUAAAGACAUUGUUACAACUCAAAAGUAAGAGAAUCUCAUACAAAAUAGGUAUUCCAUCAAAGAAAACAUAAAGAUGACAAAUACAUGAAAAAAUGCUGAAAGUCAUUAUUAAGGAGUUGCAAGUUAAAAAGCAUGGUAAGAUACCACUCUCACCCACUUGAAUGACCAAAACUAAACAGAUAACCAUACCAUUUGCUGGUAAGAAGAAAGUUAACAACUGGGACUCCUAUGCAUGGCUGGUAGGAGUAUGAAAUGGUACAACCACUUUGAAAAAGAAUUGGGCAAUUUCCUUCAAUGCUAAACGUACAUCUGUCAUACAACCCAGCAACCCCACUUCUAGGUAUUUUACACAAAGAAAAUGAAGACACAUGUCUACACAAAGACUUAUCGGCAGAUGUUCAUAGCAACUUUGUUACAGCCAAACACUGGAGAUGGCCCAAUUGUCCAAGAGGUGAACAGAUAUACUAACUUUGGUACAUUUAUAUGAUGGAAUACUAAUCAGUAAUAAAAGGAACAAAUUACUGGUACUUUUGACAGCAUGAAUUUUAAACUAACUAUGGUGAGAGUAAGAAUCCAAAGGUUUUCUACUGUAAGACUCCACUUAUAUAAAAUUCUAGGAAAUGUAAAAUUACUAGGAUGUCAGAAAGCAAAUCUGUGGUAGCCUGGGGAUGGGAGUUGUGUGUGGGGUGGGGGGGAUAUAGUGAGAAGGGUUAGAUUAUGAAGGUGCAUAAGAAAAGCUUGGGGUUUGAUGAAAAUAUUUAUGAUCUUAAUUAUAGUGAUGAUUCCACAUGUAUAU